Molecule: transfer RNA, 71 nt
Filed under: Loxodonta africana (African savanna elephant)
Lineage: Eukaryota; Metazoa; Chordata; Mammalia; Proboscidea; Elephantidae
Rfam family: tRNA
About the family: Transfer RNA (tRNA) molecules are approximately 80 nucleotides in length. Their secondary structure includes four short double-helical elements and three loops (D, anti-codon, and T loops).
Source: Rfam by way of RNAcentral
GCAGUGGUGGCGCAGUGGUAGAACUCUUGCCUUUCAUGCAGAAGACCCGGGUUCAAUUCCUGGCCAGUGUA